This 775-nucleotide ribosomal RNA is filed under the name uncultured Neocallimastigales. RNAcentral describes it as "partial large subunit ribosomal RNA". It matches the Rfam family "Eukaryotic large subunit ribosomal RNA", at positions 26 to 637 of the family's 3401-position model. The record is from RNAcentral. Lineage: Eukaryota; Fungi; Neocallimastigomycota; Neocallimastigomycetes; Neocallimastigales.
CGCAUCUGUGCAUGCAGCAUAUCAAUAAGCGGAGGAAAAGAAACUAACAAGGAUUCCCCUAGUAACGGCGAGUGAAGCGGGAAGAGCUCAAAUUUGAAAUCUUAAAGGGUUUCCCUUUACGAAUUGUAGUUUAAAGAAGUGUUUUCUGUUGAGGUUUUGGUAAAAGUUCUUUGGAAUAGGACAUCAUAGAGGGUGAGAAUCCCGUAUUUGACCUUUACUUUCAACUUUGCUGAUACACUUUCAAAGAGUCGGAUUGUUUGGGAAUGCAGUCCAAAAUGGGUGGUAAAUUUCAUCUAAAGCUAAAUAUUGGCGAGAGACCGAUAGCGAACAAGUACCGUGAGGGAAAGAUGAAAAGAACUUUGAAAAGAGAGUUAAACAGUACGUGAAAUUGUCAAAAGGGAAGCGUUUGACACCAGUGUUGUUUUUCUGAAAAUCAAUUAAAGAACUGUUUAUGCUAAGUUGUUUAGACUUUAUCAGCUAACUGUUUAGUUUUGAGCUUUUCUUUAAUGCACUUUUCAGUUAACAAGUCAACAUCAAUUUCUUUUGCUGUAAAAAAGCUUGAGGAAGGUGGCUUGAGAUUCGUCUUAAGUGUUUAUAGCCUCUUGCCUAUGCAGUCGGAGAGAUUGAGGUCUGCAGCGUAGAUCCUUCGGGGCUAAAUGCAUUUGUGCUAAGUUAUAGCAUUUUAUAGACAACUUGUUGACUAUGAUUUGUCUUGUAGCUUACUCGCUUAUGUUAUUUUACCUACGCUUAGGAUGUUGACAGCAGUAUAGACUGU